GAACUGAAGAGUUUGAUCCUGGCUCAGAUUGAACGCUGGCGGCAUGCUUUACACAUGCAAGUCGAACGGCAGCGCGGGGCAACCUGGCGGCGAGUGGCGAACGGGUGAGUAA
RNAcentral lists this ribosomal RNA (112 nucleotides) under Massilia sp. IC2-476. RNAcentral describes it as "partial 16S ribosomal RNA". It matches the Rfam family "Bacterial small subunit ribosomal RNA", at positions 1 to 113 of the family's 1533-position model. The record is from RNAcentral. Lineage: Bacteria; Pseudomonadati; Pseudomonadota; Betaproteobacteria; Burkholderiales; Oxalobacteraceae. RNAcentral also lists the same sequence under 1 other name.